UGUAGCUCAAUGGUAGAGCACUUGUCUAGCAUGAGCAAGGUCCUGGGUUCAAUGCCCAGCA
This 61-nucleotide transfer RNA is filed under the name Urocitellus parryii (Arctic ground squirrel). Its description in RNAcentral is "Spermophilus parryii (Arctic ground squirrel) tRNA". It matches the Rfam family "tRNA", at positions 6 to 65 of the family's 71-position model. Rfam says of the family: Transfer RNA (tRNA) molecules are approximately 80 nucleotides in length. Their secondary structure includes four short double-helical elements and three loops (D, anti-codon, and T loops). The record is from Rfam by way of RNAcentral. Lineage: Eukaryota; Metazoa; Chordata; Mammalia; Rodentia; Sciuridae. RNAcentral also lists the same sequence under 2 other names.